RNAcentral lists this non-coding RNA (23 nucleotides) under Rattus norvegicus (Norway rat). Lineage: Eukaryota; Metazoa; Chordata; Mammalia; Rodentia; Muridae. The record is from RNAcentral.
GGGAAGGAUGGCCUAUUGUGCUG